Molecule: long non-coding RNA, 1289 nt
Filed under: Diabrotica virgifera virgifera (western corn rootworm)
Lineage: Eukaryota; Metazoa; Arthropoda; Insecta; Coleoptera; Chrysomelidae
Description: uncharacterized LOC126888858
Source: RNAcentral
UGGGAGGAGCUUGGAACUUAAAAGUUACAAAACUAAGGUUAUGUUUGUAUAUUUGUAUCGUCGUUGUCGUUUCAUUUCAUUUCAUUGUUUGUUUGUCCUAGUAUUUUGUUUUGGAUUCAUUUGGAUUUUGUUGGCUGUUUUGUGUGUAUUUUUUAAAACUUUUGUUUGUCAUUUGUAAGUUUUAUAAAUUUACCACAAUGCAAACCGCAGAUGUUUUAGAAAGAUAUUCAUUGAAGCUGAAAAUAAUUAGAGAUUUAGAUCCAUAUACAAUUCAGUCAUCAGAAUUGGAUUUUACAGUGCAUUCCAUCAAUUACCUACUGUUAUAAUGCUAUUCUAGAUAGACUGGUACAGUCUCACACAUCAGAUGAAAGCAUACAAAAGCCUUCAGGCACAUAAAAGUCUUCACAACCAAUUCACAACUGGAUUUGUUUUGAAACAUUUGAUGUUUUGAUGAUUUCUAUAUUAUUGUUGAAAAGGUGAAGAAUUCCCAAAAAUCUAAAGCUAAACCACUAGAUGCUUGGGUGAUAGCCAGUUCCAAUGGCAUAGCAAAUGCACAUUGUAUGUGGAUGGCCGGUAAUAGUGAAGUUUGCAGCCAUAUUGCAGCAAUCUUAUUUGCAGCUGAGUAUGCCCACAGCAAGACAGAAGAAGAAGAACCCAAUGCAUGUACAGAUGUUACAGCUAUGUACAUUCUCUGGUGAAAAACUAAUUAGUUUUCAAACUGUUCGUUCAGAGUGCUUGUUGCGCUCUCUAAACGAACUGAAAUGAUAAGAUGGCUUUGGCUUCAUGUUGCAGCGAUAUGAAAAUGGUUAGUCAUUUUUAAUUAUAAUGUACUUCUUCAUCAUGAGUAUUUAUGUAUAGGGCUUUUCAUUCACAGUCAUUUGUUUCGAGCUUCUGUCAUGUGUCACAUAAUAUUAAUAUAUCUACGUCAUACGUUAUUGGUAUAUACCAAUUUAUUUAUUUAUUUAUCGUAUGGCACCUGACACAUUUACAUUUACAUACACACCAAAGACAUAUGGCGUAGAUAUAUUAAUAUUAUGUGACACAUGACAGAUGCUCGAAACAAAUGACAGUCGAUAAAAAGCCCUAUUAGUCUUUUAAGUGUGUAUUAUCAGAUAUACAUGUAAAUUGUUUUUAUCAUUAUAAUUUGGUCAUUACAGUCCCUUAAUCAAAAAAUAUAUUUUUCAGGUGUCUGUGGAUCUUUUUGUAUGCAAAAAUUUGUAAUAAUUAUUUGAAAUCGUUUUGAGGAUUAUAAGAGUAUGGAAAUAUAUGUGAGAACACAGACUAUUAUA